AGGCACCGCUGGCCACCACACCGAUCACUCCAUCGUGCAUCCCAUCGUCCAGACGCACUACACUCAUGCACACGCCCACCUCUCUCUCCAACUCCUCACCCCCGCCCCACUGCGAUCAAGGCAGAAAAAAAGAGUAUGUUGGCCUUUAUUAACUUUAUUAAUUGUCGCAUGGUUCAUCAAGGAGAUUACCUACACCAACAUUCAUCAACAAGAAAAUACCACGUAUGGCACAAGUUGGUGUGUUAGCUUCCUUGGGUAAUGCUGGAAGGUCUUCACAACCUGGAUAAGUAAAGUUUGAAAGGUUAUAACCUUGACUAACAGAAUAAAAUGAAUUUUAAUGCACACACAUGUACAUACGUCUCUAUUAUUUUCUGCUCUUAUUUUUUAGAAUCAGGUAGCCCACUUUUUCUUUAGAAUCAGAGUGAAGUCCAUAUACUGCUUGCUCACAAGUGCCGGACAAUGGAAAACUUUGACAUCCUCCUGCG
RNAcentral lists this long non-coding RNA (485 nucleotides) under Triticum aestivum (bread wheat). RNAcentral's name for it is "long non-coding RNA (TAES_LNC000107)". Lineage: Eukaryota; Viridiplantae; Streptophyta; Magnoliopsida; Poales; Poaceae. The record is from RNAcentral.